RNAcentral lists this transfer RNA (72 nucleotides) under Haplophryne mollis. RNAcentral describes it as "tRNA-Asp". The record is from RNAcentral. Lineage: Eukaryota; Metazoa; Chordata; Actinopteri; Lophiiformes; Linophrynidae.
AAAACACUAGUAAAAUAUAAAUUACAUUGCCGUGUCGGGGCUAUAUUGUGGGUUAAAUCCCCACGUGUUUUA